UUUGUUUAUUGAAAAAUAACUCACCCACUUUGAUUCGGGAGCUCGGGGUAAGGGUUAUUUCUUCAAUGUGUUUAGGUACAACAACUAUUAUUAUAGAGGACGAAGCUAUCCCAACUCCACUUCAUGUCCAUGGAGCACUGCAGGAGUUUUGGUUGUGGCUGAGGACGUGCGGGAAGGAAGAAAGUGGUGUCAUCGUGAGGAGGAGGAGGCCUACAAAAGAAGACGUAUAUACAAACAGUCAGGUGUCUGGGUCAGUGAUCUUGAGGGUGUGGGCCACGUUCCACGACACGUGAAUCAUAGGGACGAUGGACUUGACCUUCUUGACUACGUUCCACUCAAACCUUUCCAGGGCCAGCUGGUACUGCAGGUGGUGCACUCCUUACCAUUGAGCGGGCCUACAUUCCAGGCAAUGUUGUUGCACCAACCCACAGCCUGUACCCAGUGAACAGUCCCUGCAUUGAUCCACACCAAGUCUCCUGGUCUCUGGAUGAAGCGGUACACUGGGAUGU
Long non-coding RNA from Nerophis lumbriciformis (worm pipefish), 509 nucleotides. RefSeq lists it as uncharacterized. The record is from RefSeq and is a predicted model, not a curated record. Lineage: Eukaryota; Metazoa; Chordata; Actinopteri; Syngnathiformes; Syngnathidae.